RNAcentral lists this small RNA (202 nucleotides) under Pogona vitticeps (central bearded dragon). RNAcentral describes it as "7SK RNA (ENSPVIG00000005121.1)". It matches the Rfam family "7SK RNA", at positions 81 to 274 of the family's 331-position model. From Rfam's summary of the family: 7SK was discovered as an abundant small nuclear RNA in the mid-70s but a possible function has only recently been suggested. Two independent studies have found that 7SK RNA binds the CDK9/cyclin T complex (known as elongation factor P-TEFb). P-TEFb activates transcription by phosphorylating the C-terminal domain of RNA polymerase II. Lineage: Eukaryota; Metazoa; Chordata; Lepidosauria; Squamata; Agamidae. The record is from RNAcentral.
GGGUGCCCUCUUCUUCUCUUUCAGCUCCAUGUGCCACCCUCCUGAAGCUGCACACUCAAUGGAAGAGGACAACCAUCCAAGAUGUAAGGAGUGUAAUCUUCUUUGGUCAAGGAUAUGGGGAUUGAUGGCACAGGAAUAGAGAUGGGACGGCCUGGGGGAAAACUGGAAAAAUUGAGGGGGGAAACAGGGUUUGUCCCCAUUU